AGCAGCCGCGGUAAUUCCAGCUCCAAUAGCGUAUAUUAAAGUUGCUGCAGUUAAAAAGCUCGUAGUUGAAUUUCGGGACUAAUAUGUCGGUCGUGCCUCGGUACGUACUGGCUUAUUGGUUUCUCCUUUCUGAAGAACCAUGAUGCCAUUUAUUUGGUGUCGUGGGGAAUCAGGACUGUUACUUUGAAAAAAUUAGAGUGUUUAAAGCAGGCUCACGCUUGAAUACAUUAGCAUGGAAUAAUGAAAUAGGACGUUUGAUUCUAUUUUGUUGGUUUCUAGGAUCGACGUAAUGAUUAAUAGGGAUAGUUGGGGGCAUUAGUAUUCAAUUGUCAGAGGUGAAAUUCUUGGAUUUAUUGAAGACUAACUACUGCGAAAGCAUUUGCCAAGGAUGUUUUCAUUAAUCAAGAACGAAAGUUAGGGGAUCGAAGACGAUCAGAUACCGUCGUAGUCUUAACCAUAAACUAUGCCGACUAGGGAUCGGAUGAUGUUAAUUUUUUAAUGACUCAUUCGGCGCCUUACG
RNAcentral lists this ribosomal RNA (520 nucleotides) under uncultured Glomus. RNAcentral's name for it is "SSU rRNA". It matches the Rfam family "Eukaryotic small subunit ribosomal RNA", at positions 569 to 1092 of the family's 1831-position model. Lineage: Eukaryota; Fungi; Glomeromycota; Glomeromycetes; Glomerales; Glomeraceae. The record is from RNAcentral.